AGUAUAAUUAUUAUACUUUCAAAAAUAUAAGAGAGCACCGAUUGUUUCUAGCGCAAGUGGCAAAGGGCUAAAAAGUUAGUACCCGAGGUCCCAAGUUCGAAUCCUAUUUGAUUCACAUCUCCAGCUAAGCUUAUUUCUAAAUGAAAUAAACGAAGCCGGUAACAUACUAUCAAUCUCUCAAAAAAUUAUAAGAGAGCUGGUACUUCCUAUAUAGUAGAGUUAGUAUACUUCCGAAAGUAGAAGGUAGUUGAUGCUUUUAACUUUUUAGUCAUUGAAUCGAUCCCUUUGAUUAUUUAUGGUCUUUAGAUUAAUAUUAUUAUCGUAGAGGAACCACUCAACUAUAGAAAAACUACUCAACCCUAAGGGAGACUACUAUCAUUACGACCCUACAAUCCUCACACUGUAUAUAUUUUGGCUAUUU
Molecule: long non-coding RNA, 421 nt
Filed under: Ananas comosus (pineapple)
Lineage: Eukaryota; Viridiplantae; Streptophyta; Magnoliopsida; Poales; Bromeliaceae
Description: long non-coding RNA (ACOM_LNC012956)
Source: RNAcentral